UUCCGUAGGUGAACCUGCGGAAGGAUCAUUAAAUACCGGUAGUUUACUACCGUUUGAGGGGAGUGGAAACUGGCCAGGUUUACCUGUUCAGGAGUACACUUCUUUUCUUAACCCUUGACUUUUUGAGCACUUGUGUUUCCUCGGCAGGCUUGCCUGCCGUAUGGACAAAUCAAUAACCUUUUUAAUUUUCAAUCAGCGUCUGAAUUAUUUAAUAAUUACAACUUUCAACAACGGAUCUCUUGGUUCUGGCAUCGAUGAAGAACGCAGCGAAAUGCGAUAAGUAGUGUGAAUUGCAGAAUUCAGUGAAUCAUCGAAUCUUUGAACGCACAUUGCGCCCCUUGGUAUUCCAUGGGGCAUGCCUGUUCGAGCGUCAUUUGUACUCUCAAGCUCUGCUUGGUGUUGGGUGUUUGUCUUUGCUUUGCUUAGACUCGCCUUAAAUAUAUUGGCAGCCGGUAUACUGGUUUGAAGCGCAGCACAAUUGCAUUUCUAGCUUGUUAUUACUGGUACCCAUUAAGAAAAUUAACACUUUUGACCUCGGAUCAGGUAGGGAUACCCGCUGAAC
RNAcentral lists this ribosomal RNA (562 nucleotides) under Phaeosphaeria caricicola. RNAcentral's name for it is "eukaryotic LSU rRNA". The stretch from base 220 to 373 matches the Rfam family "5.8S ribosomal RNA". Lineage: Eukaryota; Fungi; Ascomycota; Dothideomycetes; Pleosporales; Phaeosphaeriaceae. The record is from RNAcentral.